This is a non-coding RNA of Callithrix jacchus (white-tufted-ear marmoset), 4788 nucleotides long. The record is from RefSeq and is a predicted model, not a curated record. Lineage: Eukaryota; Metazoa; Chordata; Mammalia; Primates; Cebidae.
CCCUGUUAACCUGAAUGACACUGAAGACAAGUUUCUGGUAUUCAUAGAACCUGUGCCUGUGAACCCCCGUUUCUUCAUCUUCUAGCCUGGAUAUUCAUUCACCUGCUAAUUGCAAUGCUCAGCCAUUAGAGUCACCUGGGCCAAAGAUGGAACGGCGAUCUUGGGGGAGAGAGCACUUCCCACUGGAGAUGUCACAUGGAGGCCAGCCAGCUACUUGGAGGGCAUGAUGUGGGCAGCAGAUGGUGGAUGAGACCCUUCUGACAUGUAGAGGUAGGAGGGAAGGAAGCAAGGAACCCCUCAUCUACUUCCUCUCCUUCAAAGACGGAGUUUCACUCUUGGUGCCCACACUGGAGUGCAAUGGCAUGAUCUUGGCCCACUGCAACCUCUGCCUCCCGGAAUCAAGUGAUUCUCCCGCCUCAGUCUCCUGAGUAGCUGAGAUUACAGGUAUGCACAACCAUACUUGGCUAAUUUUGUAUUUUUAGUAGAGACAGGGUUUCUCCAUGUUGGUCAGGCUGGUCUCAAACUCCCAACCUCAGGUGAUCCGCCUGCCUCAGCUUCCCAAAGUGCUGGGAUUGCAGGCGUGAGCCACCACGCCUGGCUAUAUACCAUACUUUGUAAUAUUUUUUUUCCUAUGGGGAAGGUGCCCCAAAGGCAAAAGUGGCCAGGGCUUCGAAGCUUAGAAAGCAACCCCAGGCCAGCUCCCUCAUUCCUGUGGCUUUCACUCUCUGUACUCUGACUGCACGCACAUUUCCCAGACUCAUACUGUCUCCUGCCUGCCUGGCAACUGUCGCAGGCCUGUACCCCAGGCCUGCUCCUUCCAGUUCUUUCUCACCCAAGCAAAUGGCAGCACCAUCCCUCCUCGCUGCUCAGGCCAGAAACCACGUAUCCAUCACUGACCCUAACUUUCACACCCACACACAGUCCAGCAGCAAGAUCUGUCCACUUGACCUUGGAAACACCCAGAAUGUGGCCACUCCUCCGCCUCCCGGGCCUGAGCAUCCUCACAUCUCUAGAGACUGCACCACCACCCGCCACCUGACUGUCUCCCUUCUGCAGUCUGUUCUCAGCACAGCAGCUAGAGGGAUCCUUCUAACCAGGAAGGCAGGACUGUGCUCUGCUCUGCUCUGCUCAAGCUCGCUCAGCGUAAAAAGUGCAGUGCUGGCUCCCCUCCGCUCUUGGGUCCCACCUGUCUUGCUGACCUUACCUGCUGCUCUGCUUCGCCCUACUCCGGCCUCCAGGUGCCUGGCCUCCUACAUGCACGCCAUGGCAUGCCUGCUGCAGGCAUCGCUAUUCCCUCUGCCUGCAAGGCUUUCCCUCACACAGCCACGAGACAGUCCUGUCUUCCUCAUGGUCUCUGUCUGAUGUCACUUUAUUGGAGAGGCUUUUCCCAACUCCCUGAAUAAAACAGCACCCCCUGGCACUUAACCCUUAUCUGUGUGCCUUUUUCUGGACGGCCCUUAUGACCACUUGAUGCCUAUGUUCAUGUUUAUUGCGCACCUAGAAUGUCAGCUGUAGGAGAGCAGGGGUUUUGUCUGUUUUGUCCCUGCUCUAUCCUCCAUACUUGGAACACAGCAGGAGCUCAGCUAACAUAUGGAGUGAAACGACCACCCGCAGAAGCAGACAGAGCCCUGCUUUGGGUGCUGACUCGAUGUUCAACUUGAGGUGAGUCCCUGCCCCUCUUGUCUCAUCUCACAUGCCUGUGUGCCUACCUGAGAGAUGGGGGUGGGGACAGCGGCUCACAGUGUUGUGAGGUCUGUCACUGUGUUCGGCACACAGCUAGGGGCCAGCAAGUGGCAGGGCCCUUACGUGCGCUCUUUCUGUCCCUCAAGACGGGGACCUGGCUCUGCCUCCCCAGUGCCGGCACCUAGCACAGAGCCCAGCAUACAGGGGCUUAAUUUCAGGGUUGCUGGAUUUCUAAAAGAGAAGUGAGGCAUCCAGAGAGUAUAAGAGGAGUUUUUUGGGGGGUUGGGUGGGGGGCAGAAGAAGGAAGUCACCUAAAAGACAAGCAUCAAUGUGGGAAGAAGGUUUGUGUGUGUGUGUGUGUCUGUGUGAGAGAGAGCAGGGUAUGUAGGGCAGUGCCUGUACCACAUCUCUCCUCUCUUGGAUGCCUGGAACAUUCCAGCAUCUUUCAAGAUUCAGUUCAAACAAACUGCCUCCAGAAAGCUUUGGGAGGGUAUCUCUCACGCUGAACCGCUUCCCCCAGGCCCGUGCCUGUUCUCAGACUGCACAUACCCACUUACUGUCACUGUUUCCCUGUCUGCCUAUUUCAUCUCUGGUUACCCUUUGGGUCUGGAGUCGUAGGCAGGAUACCCAACAAAAAAGCUCCUGGGUGGGUCCCGAUACCCCUCUGCCUGGCAUCCCCCCGCCCUGGUUGUGAUUGGUUUUUGGUGAAUUGUUUUAUAAGGGCUAUUUCCUGACCCUGCCUGCCUCUUUGCUCUCCAGCAUCUCUCUGGGGUGGGGUUGGGAGCUUACUCUGCCUCUGUAACAGAAACAUUUGCCUGGAGCCCAGGCUGGCAUUUCUGGGGUAUGGCCAGUGGAGGGCAGCAGUGUGCCACGCCCAGCUGCCCUGUUUCGAUAGGACUGGGUUUUGCUGGCUUGCUUUCUUUUACAAAUUUAUUUAUUUUUCCUUUGCCACUUCUUCCAGGAAUAGGCUUUUCUUUAAGGCCUCACUUCUCGUUGGGUCUCACACAGAGCCUCACUCCUUUCCUAGACCCUGAUGGAAGCCAGUGUGAUCUGUAACAAUCUGGUUUUACCCAACUAAAAAAGAGGAAUCUCAGAGGAAUCCUUUGGUCUUGACAAAUUCAGUUCACCCCAGACCUCUGGCCCUUCCCUAGUGUUGCCCCGGAAGACCCAUUUGUCUUGCUUUUUCCCCCUCUCCUCAGCGGCUGCCCUAACAGCCCCCAGGUCUGCCUGAUUCUCUCCUGCUGGGACAGGCGGCCAGAGGUUGUAGAAAACUCUAGAGGAUCGGCAAACCCCUUCCCAAGCUGUCCGGCCUCAGCCUGGUUCUGCAGGGCUCCCAGGGACUCACCUGGCGGCUGGGAUCCUCCUCACGGAAGAUGAAGGGGCUGUGAAACUGUCUCUGCAAGGCUGCGUGGACCAUGAUUUUCACGGAUUUGUACUUGAGCUGUGCAAUCAGAGGCCUGGUUGGAAGCUGGCCUGGAAGCCUUUCUUCCCGUUCCCUCCCCAGGUGGAAGACAUCCCAAUAGCCACCCCCUUUUCCUUCUGGCCCAGCGCAGGGGCUCUACUUACUGCUUUUAGGGACUUCAGCCACAGAUUCCCCAGUAGAUGGAAAUUGAUUUCCUGGUUGGGGGCCAGCUGUAUAUUGCAGUUGAUGGAGACUACAUCAGAAUUGCUGUGAUUCUGAAAGAGAGGAUGGGUCUCAGGGCUGAGCUGCUGGGCUAGGGGGAGCAGGGGGAGGCAGCUCUGCUUGAACAACUGGGGCUCUGUUCCUGGGGGCAGGGACAGAGGACGGGGGAUGAGGACAGAGCUGGGAGUGGGGGACAUGUGUCCUAUGCCUGCCAGGGGAUGACUGAAAGACAAAUGAAGGAUGGCAUAGCUGAUGCUCCUUGAAGCUGUGCAUCAUGACCGGCCUGGGUAUAUUCUAGGAACAGAACUUUGGUUCAACGUUAGGGAAUCUAUAAAUGUUUCCCAUCACCAUAUAAACGCAUAAAACUAAAAAAAUUAUUUGAUCGCUGCAGCAGAUGCAGAAAAAGUAUUUUAGGAAGUCCAACUUCUGUUCAUGAUAAAAAAAAAACCUCCCAGAGAACUUCCUGAAUCCAAUAAAAGGGGUCUUCCUCAAGUUCACAUGUAUUAUGAAAAAGCUAUGCAUGGAUCCCAGAACUCUUCACCAAAGUAAACUCGUACUAACUUGUAACCUCUGCGAACAGGAUCUAGUUAGAGGCACCAAGAAGGAUAAGAUGUCAGUUUGAAAGGAUUAAAUGGAGAAGCUAACGAUGGGAAACCCAAACAAACGUUCAAACAAUUAGAAUACAUUAGGUGAAAGUUACUAGUGUAGCUGCCUUGCUGCCCACCCCAACCCCAGCUCAGCCCAAAUCUCUGGUAAAGCACACCACCCCCAUCAGUGCUUUGUGGGAGGCACUUGUUUUGGGGAAAUAAACAGCUAAGAUUGUUGCCUAGGUAAAGAACAGUGGAAGUGGGCUGAGAAUCUGGUGUCUGGAGGCAGGGGCAACCCUGAGAAUGCACACUGGAAAUGAGCAGGUGUCUUGGGAAGGCUCUGGAAAUUGAGGCUGAUCUGCAUUCCAUCUCCAGGUCAGGAGGCCCCAGCUUGAUGUGGCCAAAUAUGUGUGUAUUCUGCUUGCCUCUGGUUUCUUCCCCUUCUCUCUGCUUCUCUGUAUCCUACCAGCCUGCUUGGCCCAGGUGCAAGUCCACCAUUCCCACCCCUUUCUGCUUGUUUGCCUGACACUCCACAGGCUGUGACCCUGGCUCCUCAGGCUCUCACUGUGUGUGUGUUUCCCCCACUCCCUGUGAGAUGGGGGGACUCACAUAGGCCAACAAGUCUUUUCCUCCAGCUUUUUCUUGGCUUGGGGCUCAGUAAGCUCCUAAUUGACAAGCUAUUGGAUCAGGAGGGAAAUGGCCCCCCGGAGCAAAGGUGCUAGUGCACCUCUAACCCCAACCACUGUGGCUCUUGGUCUGGGGGACACUCACCAGCUGUGGAGCACGACUCAAGUCUUCCUCCAUUGGGGUGGGCCGGUACUCAGUGCUGUUUCCCCAGAUGUUACAGGAUGUGUUCAUCUAAAUAAAGGACACCCACACACAGCCUUACAACCA